Molecule: ribosomal RNA, 864 nt
Filed under: Enterococcus sp. M8
Lineage: Bacteria; Bacillati; Bacillota; Bacilli; Lactobacillales; Enterococcaceae
Description: bacterial SSU rRNA
Rfam family: Bacterial small subunit ribosomal RNA
Source: RNAcentral
AGGGUCAUUGGAAACUGGGAGACUUGAGUGCAGAAGAGGAGAGUGGAAUUCCAUGUGUAGCGGUGAAAUGCGUAGAUAUAUGGAGGAACACCAGUGGCGAAGGCGGCUCUCUGGUCUGUAACUGACGCUGAGGCUCGAAAGCGUGGGGAGCGAACAGGAUUAGAUACCCUGGUAGUCCACGCCGUAAACGAUGAGUGCUAAGUGUUGGAGGGUUUCCGCCCUUCAGUGCUGCAGCAAACGCAUUAAGCACUCCGCCUGGGGAGUACGACCGCAAGGUUGAAACUCAAAGGAAUUGACGGGGGCCCGCACAAGCGGUGGAGCAUGUGGUUUAAUUCGAAGCAACGCGAAGAACCUUACCAGGUCUUGACAUCCUUUGACCACUCUAGAGAUAGAGCUUUCCCUUCGGGGACAAAGUGACAGGUGGUGCAUGGUUGUCGUCAGCUCGUGUCGUGAGAUGUUGGGUUAAGUCCCGCAACGAGCGCAACCCUUAUUGUUAGUUGCCAUCAUUUAGUUGGGCACUCUAGCGAGACUGCCGGUGACAAACCGGAGGAAGGUGGGGAUGACGUCAAAUCAUCAUGCCCCUUAUGACCUGGGCUACACACGUGCUACAAUGGGAAGUACAACGAGUUGCGAAGUCGCAAGGCUAAGCGAAUCUCUUAAAACUUCUCUCAGUUCGGAUUGUAGGCUGCAACUCGCCUACAUGAAGCCGGAAUCGCUAGUAAUCGCGGAUCAGCACGCCGCGGUGAAUACGUUCCCGGGCCUUGUACACACCGCCCGUCACACCACGAGAGUUUGUAACACCCGAAGUCGGUGAGGUAACCUUUAUGGAGCCAGCCGCCUAAGGUGGGAUAGAUGAUUGGGGUG